CCUACGGGCGGCAGCAGUGAGGAAUAUUGGUCAAUGGGCGGAAGCCUGAACCAGCCAAGUAGCGUGCGGGAUGAAGGCCCUAUGGGUUGUAAACCGCUUUUGCACGGGGAUAACACCCUCCACUUGUGGAGGUUUGCAUGUACCGUGCGAAUAAGGGCCGGCUAAUUCCGUGCCAGCAGCCGCGGUAAUACGGAGGGCCCGAGCGUUAUCCGGAUUUAUUGGGUUUAAAGGGAGCGUAGGCGGGGGUUAAAGUCAGCUGGAAAAUUUCGCGGCUCAACCGCGCCCCGCAGUUGAAACUGGACGCCUUGAGUACACGAGAGGCAGGCGGAAUUCGUGGUGUAGCGGUGAAAUGCAUAGAUAUCACGAGGAACCCCGAUUGCGAAGGCAGCCUACCGGAGUGCGACUGACGCUGAGGCUCGAAGGUGCGGGUAUCAAACAGGAUUAGAUACCCUUGUAGUC
RNAcentral lists this ribosomal RNA (459 nucleotides) under uncultured bacterium. RNAcentral's name for it is "partial 16S ribosomal RNA". It matches the Rfam family "Bacterial small subunit ribosomal RNA", at positions 338 to 795 of the family's 1533-position model. The record is from RNAcentral.